GGGCAGCAGAGAAUUACGUUAAAGAGAUGUGAUGUUCACAGUAGAACAGAGAAAUAUGAUAGUCAAUGAAAAACUACACACAAAUAUGGAUGACAAACGGCCAAUGUGCAAAAGAAGACAAAUUGUGCAAAUGAAAAGAAAUGCUGUCAGUAAAUAAGCAAUCCUGAAAACAUGCGUCCAUAGGUUGUGGAAUCAGUUCAGAACUGAGGCAUUCACCAUGGAACAAAGAAAUACAAUACAAUAGAAUCAAAAACCACGCACAAGGACUGACAAGCAACCAAUGUGCAAAAGAAGACAACCUGUGUAAAUACAAAAUAAGUAAAGAAAUUAAAAAAGGGGAAAGGGAGAGGUCACGUUCAAGUUCAUGCUGUGAAGUUUGCACCGGGGGAGGCAGUACAGAC
This is a long non-coding RNA of Mobula hypostoma (lesser devil ray), 401 nucleotides long. RefSeq lists it as uncharacterized. NCBI's taxonomy places the organism in Eukaryota, Metazoa, Chordata, Chondrichthyes, Myliobatiformes, Myliobatidae. The transcript has 4 exons. The record is from RefSeq and is a predicted model, not a curated record.